GUUAACUUGCAAACCCUGUAACAGACCUAUACUUGUGAUGUCCACGCUGACAGUUCCUGUGCUGUGGAUUUCCUUUUCGUUCGCCAGUCCUCCAGACAGUCAGGACGAGUGGACUCUGAAAACACCACUGUCAUCAGAGUGAGACAGCAGGAAACCCCUGACAAGUAGCUUCACUCCAUCUCAUCAAGCCCACACCGAGCUAACGUAGCUGCAGACAGAACAUCUCACUGGACUCCUCUCCUCAUCCUCUCAGCACUGGAGCAGAUCAAGAUGAGCUGAUGAACGUCUGUGAACAGCAAAAGGUUUUGCAAGGCACUGUUGGAUUCCAGGUGCUGUAGAACUGACCAGUAACACAAGAUGUGUAAAUUAAAAAAUGUGUAUUCAAACUGGAAACACCAAUGAAGAAAAGGCAAGGGAAAGCAGUGGGAGGAGCAUUUGUAGUCCCUGACCUCAGGACACCAGAGACAAACAAACCUGAAGGAUUGUGGGAGAAGAUGCAGAUUGCUGAUGAGCAACCUGCUCACUAUAGCAAUGUCGUGUGAUUUGUUCACUUCUUGGUGAGCAUGUAGGAACAUCGCAGUCACAGUUUCUGGUCUGGCUUGUGAUAUCUGAGCAACUGUUGGUCUGGAUUUAAAUAAAAUGUUAGCAUGUCUGGCUAAUUAGCCUUGGCUACAUCCUUGACUGUUUGUGAACAGGAAGUC
Molecule: long non-coding RNA, 701 nt
Organism: Monopterus albus (swamp eel)
Lineage: Eukaryota; Metazoa; Chordata; Actinopteri; Synbranchiformes; Synbranchidae
Exons: 3
Source: RefSeq, a predicted model, not a curated record